AACGGUGAAGUAUACAGCCUACACAUGCUACAGUUAAUGUUCUGAUCCCCUUUCCCCUCACAUAUAUACUUACAUAAGUUUAUGUGUUAUAAGGAAACAAACAAAAAUAACCAUCAGAAAAUUUGUUUGCCAAGAGAAGUACUGAAAUAGCCAAGAUUCUUCAGCUUUAUUCUACGAAACACACAAAGUGUUUGGAUUUAGUCCAUGCAGGACUCUCAUUCCCUAAGGGUUCAGAGAAAUGAGUUUGGAUAUACUAAUGUUCCUGAUCUAAGUUAUAGGAGGGGGGCUGUUUUUAUUGCUGGUAAUUAACAUAAUAAAUUGUGCACCCUUGUUUUUCCUCCAAGAAAGUAAUAACUAUUGCUCUUUUAUGUCAUUAAGGAAAGACCCUUGAAAAACCUUCCUUGGGCUGAGAUUCCAUAUAGCCUCUUGUCCCUAUGGAGUUAAGAAUGCUUGAUUUGGAUUGAGGGAUCAGAAACGGGAUGGAAUCUGGAAUGUUUUAACAAGACACAGAUCACAUUAGGGGUCUUAGAGCAAAGUCAGUCAGCAAAGAACUACUUAAGAUUCACUUCUCCAACAGAAAAAUUGAAAUCUGAUGUAAUUAGUUAAAUCUGAAAAAUACUGAUGGCACAAAUUAGCAGUUGAUGGCUGCUGGUGGAGCCAUGGCUCAUGGAUCAUAGUCUGGGCACAAAUUCAACACAACUGUCUUGGGGUAGCAGGUAUUGCUGGGAUAGUGUUCCCAGACACUGGUACUUCUGAUACUGAUGACCAAAAGUGAAGGAUUGAGGGAUGGUAUGGGGGGGAGGAUCUAAGAACAGCUCUACCAAGUAUGGAGUAGCUCUCAAUGACAUCAACACUGUACCAAUGAUGCCAAAGUGACCAUUGCAAUUUCUAUGACUUAUUCUUUUCCAACCAAAUCAGACUUUGGGAUUUGGUAAUAGGCAAUCUUUGGUCUCUGGUAUUAUUGACUGAUUGCAGCAUAUAUAAAUCUAGAAGAGGUGGGCUUGGGAAACUAGAUCUAAGAAAUCUAGGGGAAAGGCUGCAGGUUACAAGAUUUGUUUGGUACCCAACUUAACAAUCAAAAGAACAAAGAAAGACCCUACUAUGAUUCAGUGGGGCUCAAUAUCAAUUAGUCCACAGCAGCAGCAGGUAAGGGAAAAAAGACAAAGCAAAAUUAGACUGAAGGAAUAGCAGCCACAACAUGAAUUGCAUAUUUAUCAUGUGGUCCUGACCACAUCUAAUGUAAGCUCCCAGAAGGCAGAAACCAUAUCUUCUACUUCUGUAGUGACCAGGAGGACAAAACACUCACUGGCUACCAUGGAGUGGCAGAUUGGCUAAGAACCAUGACUGCCACUAUCAUGCCUAUGUGAUUUGUGGCAUGAUCUUUUCAAAAUAAACUUUAUGGCAAAAGGUUUUCCAACUUUCAUUGGUUUUCUGGUGGAGAGUUCUUGAAACAUCUUUUAAGUUUUAUUUGUAAGAGAAUCAUAAAUAGACUAUUUUUGCCCUAUACACUCAGGAAUAUUUUAAAUCUAAGAGUUCCACUUUGAAAAUUACAAAUGAGGCAAAUGGGAAGAGUCCCUACUGCAACAUCCAGUUUAGUAUUUCUUACAGAUCUGUCUAAUGCGGAGCUCUUUUGAUAUUUUCCAGUGCCCUAAAAACACUAAAAGAAAUAGCUUAUGCAAGGAGAAGGUACAAUUCUCUUUAAAGGAGGUGGUGAUAGGGUCAUAGAAUCAUAGAUUUGGAGCUGGAAGAACCUUGAGGAACAUCUAUUCCAAUGUUAUCUUUUUUACAAAGAAGGAAACUGAGGCCAAAAGAAGUUAAACGAGCUGUUCAAUGCCACUUGGGUAGUAAGUGACAAAGCAGUAAUUUGAAUUCAGAUAUUGGAUUCUAAGUUUAAAAACAUUGCUUGGGAAUACAAUUUACUGUGGAAAAUAUUCUUGUCCAAAAGGUAUUAUUAGGAUUUGAGGCUAUAAGAGAAAUUGGUUGUUCUGUGAUAGAGAUUUACCCCAAGAGGUAUUAGCACAGGUGGUUUGAAAUUAAGGAUUUGAUAUAGUAUGGUAAACAGCAAUACAAAAAUCCAAUCAUAUUUCUUUGCCUCUUGGGUUGGCCUUUAGCUUGGAAUUUUGGUUCAGAGCAGGCUAUCAGAUUAUGCAAGCAGCUAACCUGUCUUUGACCUUAUUGGGGAUGGCAUAGAGAAUAUUUAAUGUCUAUAAGAUGAAAGUUCAAAAAAAUAUAAAAAAUAUUGCUGAUAGCCCUUCAAAAAGUACUUUCACAAUAAAAUUAAGACUGAAAUUUGAGUCAACUGCUGACCAAUUUCUGCAGUGUUAGUCACAAAGAUGCUUGCCAACAGAAUGAAUGUCUUUGAUCUGAAGACUGGCUUUGCUGUGUUCCAAGAAACUCAUUACUCAGAACACUGGAGCAUGGUGGAUUUUUCAGCUAUGGCAACUCAUGAAGAACAUCUUCCAGUCAGAGAAGUGACAGAAUCAGUGUUAAUAGAGGGGUACCCAUACCACCUUAAGUCACAGAUCUUUGAAAUUAUUGCAAUAUCCCCAAUGGAUUAUGUAAACACAUCACCAAACAAGAGUGGGAAAUAUCUGUUACGGCAUCAGACCACAGAACAACUCUUAUUUUCACCUGGUUAGGAUAGUAUCCAACAGUGAAACAAACUGAAAGGCUGCUGCAGAAAGUAAGGAAAUGUGGUUUCUGAUAUAGCUGACACCAGCGAGAGGGAUCACCAAACAGUGCAACAACUUCAAUUUGCAAUGAGAUCCCUAGAACACAGAUGAAAAGGAAGGCGGUCCAGUUGUCCUUGAACAGACACCAGCUGCAGAAUGACUGUGACAGGAAGUCAAAUCACUUUAGAUUGGUGGAAACCUCAAAAAUGCUUAAGGCCAAGAAUUUCAGUCUUAUGCACAAAUGCAUCUGCCAUGGUGCUUAGUAUUUAAUAAGAACACAGUAAAUAUUAGGUGAAUGGAUGAAUGAAACUAGGAAGCAAGCCUGAAACAAAAUAUGUGCUUUUUUCUUUCCCAAAUGAAGCCAAAUUCAGGAAAGCAUCAUGUAAAGCAAAAGGAACAUAUUGGCUCAACACUAAAAAACUUAAGGUUUUUCUCUAAGAAGCAGGGUCCCAGAAAUGACAGAGGGGAUCUGGGUGCUCAGGCUUGCUAAGAUUAUUCCACUCAUCAACCUUGCUAAUUAUCUACAAAAGUGUUUUCUGAGGAUACUGUUAGAGGGGGCCAAUCAGAAAUAGGAGAAAUACUCGUCUAUUAAUCCCAGGGCACUAGGUGGUAGGUUCCCAGGGCUACUCAUCCUUUAGAGGAAGGGAUGAAUAACAGACAUAAGAUAAACAUGCAUUAGUCUUUUUCCUCUCCAAGGGCCUUUAAAGGCCACUUCUUCAACAAAGCAAUAUAUCCACAGGUAUUAAGGAUGAGAGAAGGACAUUUGUACCAAUAAACCUUCUAAUCUAGAAUGUGUAUGAGGAGCUAUUUUUCCAAGACAAUGGGACAUUAACACAGUGAAAGGGGUAGUCUAGAGCUGGCUUCUUCCUUGAAACAAGCCUAAGGAAGGAAAGUGCAUUCUUGCUUCUUGUAAUGUAACACCUGUAGGCACUUGCCCCUUUUGUUCUUCCACAGGAGAUCAUGGGAUCAUAACCUUAGAGUUGGAAGGUACCUUAAAGAUCAUCUAGUCCAACCUUCAUUUUUACAGUUGAGGAAACUGAGGCAUACAAACCAGGUUGCCUGAUUCCAAACUUAUGAGUUUCCCCACAAAAUUAUACUGCUUAGUCCUGGUUUCUUUUAGCUGAGACAAUCCGGCUUCUAACUACCAAUUAGGGUGCUUCAGUUUUCAUCUUGGUUAGUUCACAAAUUGGCUGGGUGAUAUCAACCAAGUGUGACUCUGUGAUUCAUCUGCCUAGUGGGGAAAUAAGCAUUGCCCAAUUUAAGUCACAAGGUUGUGAGGACCAAGUGAGAUGCAAAAACACUUGGGAAAAUUCAGAUACUUAACAGAUGUGGAGAAAAGCAGAGAAUUAGUGAGAGGCAGUCUUACUGGUGUUUAGCUCUUGUCACUAUCCAACGGACUGAAUAAAUGGCAACUUUCACCUGCCU
RNAcentral lists this long non-coding RNA (4097 nucleotides) under Sarcophilus harrisii (Tasmanian devil). Its description in RNAcentral is "lncRNA (ENSSHAG00000025021.1)". The record is from RNAcentral. Lineage: Eukaryota; Metazoa; Chordata; Mammalia; Dasyuromorphia; Dasyuridae.